UCGAGAAUCUUUCGCAAUGGGCGAAAGCCUGACGAAGCGACGCUGUGUGAGCGAUGAAGGCCUUCGGGUUGUAAAGCUCUUUCGCAUCAGAACAAGAGAGAGUGGUGAAUAGCCAUUUGAUUUGAGGGUAUGAUGUAAAGAAGCACCGGCUAACUCCGUGCCAGCAGCUGCGGUAAUACGGAGGGUGCAAGCAUUAAUCGGAUUUAUUGGGCGUAAAGGGCGCGUAGGCGGAUAUGAAAGUCAAAUGUGAAAUUCCGAAGCUCAACUUCGGAGCCGCAAGUGAAACUUCAUAUCUCGAGGGAAGGCGGAGAAAAUGGAAUUCCACGUGUAGCGGUGAAAUGCGUAGAUAUGUGGAAGAACACCUGUGGCGAAAGCGGUUUUCUAGCUUUUACCUGACGCUGAGGCGCGAGAGCAAGGGGAGCAAACA
RNAcentral lists this ribosomal RNA (427 nucleotides) under uncultured Candidatus Rhabdochlamydia sp. RNAcentral describes it as "bacterial SSU rRNA". It matches the Rfam family "Bacterial small subunit ribosomal RNA", at positions 355 to 774 of the family's 1533-position model. Lineage: Bacteria; Pseudomonadati; Chlamydiota; Chlamydiia; Parachlamydiales; Candidatus Rhabdochlamydiaceae. The record is from RNAcentral.